RNAcentral lists this long non-coding RNA (315 nucleotides) under Strigops habroptila (Kakapo). RNAcentral describes it as "lncRNA (ENSSHBG00005010770.1)". Lineage: Eukaryota; Metazoa; Chordata; Aves; Psittaciformes; Psittacidae. The record is from RNAcentral.
ACUGACUCUUUCACCACUGAAUUUGGAGGCGGGAAGGAAAGUAAAACAUCAAGAAACUGAAGAUUUUGUGAAGUGCUGUGAAAACACGGUUGUUGUGUGGUGCUUAGCAUUCAGCAGGAUCUGCUCUGGUGGCACUUCAGUAUAAUGGCUUCUCUUCAUCCAUAGAACAACAGCAUUGUGAGAGGAAGGUGGGUUGAAUACCCUGCUGGACCUGCCAGUUUGCUUCGUGAGCAGCACACAGUGGUUGCCCCUUCACAGAGUCCGUGUAUUCAGGUGAUUGUAAUUCUAUAUGUGUCCCCUAUAUAAAACCGUAGA